GUUUCGUCAGAGGCUCAGGUGUGUUAUGCUAGUAGCUGCUAGCCUCGACUUGUUGGCCACGUGUUGGGACGAGGAGCAGGCUACAGAAGUCUGAUAAACCAACACUCAGGUGUCCUGUCCUGCGUCUCGUGCCAUGCAGUCUGCGUGGGGUUUUUUUUUUUACGUUUGCCGCACCUCUUUGAUGAUGAUCUUGCCGUUCUGGUGGAUGGUGCUGUUGUUGACCAUGCCCACAAUGGCCACGCCCAGGUUACACCGGAUGCCGAAGGAGAUGCAGAAGCCCAGGCCGCUCAUGAUGGCGAUGACAUAGCGGCGGGGCAGACCGAAGCACUUGCAGUCGCACAGCGGGGGUUUCUUCUCCGCGGCCUCCCGGGGCCGCCCGUCCUCCGUCAGCUCGAUCACGUCCCCGGUUUUCUGUCUCCCCUCCAUCACCCUGCAACAGCCAGAAAUCUUAUAAUUGUCCCGCAGCAGGAGCAGGGAGGAGGAGACGAGCACGACGAGCCUGCAGCUUCUGUCUCACCACGAUACGACUGACAGGGUGGAUUCAUGGCAGUGUAAUGGAGGUACUUGGUUUUCAAAUGCACAGUUUUUAAAAAGAGCUCUUCCCUAAACAUAGCACACUCAAAUAACAGAACUGACAAUCUAAUAGCCCAGCUAUAGAUCAGUGGAACUAAACAUUUUGUAGCUACCAAUUCUAAAAGAAAGUAAUCUGAGGAAUAAGCACCGCCUAGUUAAUUUUCUUAUAUAUAUCAAUGUGUUUCAUAUCUGAUAUAUUUGUAAGUUUGAAUGUUUACUACAUUCAUAGUUAAAUGAUAUGAACUCCCAACCACAAUUACCAUCAGACAACUUCACAACUGACACGUACUAUAUAUUCUUGUCCAAACCGUUCAGUCCUUCGUCUUGUUUCUCAGUAGAAGAAUCACACGCAGAAAAUUAAAUGAAUAAUGCCAUAACUAAUUACACCUAAUGUCACAUCUUCAACAUCAAAACCCUAUCAGCACAUACAGAGUCAGUCAGUCAUGACAAAUGGAGAGUUUGAAUGUAUCACAUGUAUCAAUGUAACACCUUCCAAUGAUUUUUUAUGGCACAAAAAAGUUUCAUCCACUGUAAAAGCUGAUUUAAAGUA
This is a long non-coding RNA of Lates calcarifer (barramundi perch), 1123 nucleotides long. RefSeq lists it as uncharacterized. Lineage: Eukaryota; Metazoa; Chordata; Actinopteri; Centropomidae. The transcript has 3 exons. The record is from RefSeq and is a predicted model, not a curated record.